This is a long non-coding RNA of Bubalus bubalis (water buffalo), 541 nucleotides long. RefSeq lists it as uncharacterized. The transcript has 2 exons. NCBI's taxonomy places the organism in Eukaryota, Metazoa, Chordata, Mammalia, Artiodactyla, Bovidae. The record is from RefSeq and is a predicted model, not a curated record.
UGGUAGGCUACAGUCCAUGGGGUCACAGAGAGUCAGACAGGACUGAGUGAUAAACAUUCACUCUGAAGGCUGGAUAUCCCCUGGGAGAUGUUUUACAAGACUGAAGACCCUUUCACUUUACUUCCCCACUGCACCUCCCUCCCUUUUCUGUCUUUUGUCUUUAGUUCCUCAUUGCUUCUUUCUCUCUGAUCUAUAAAAGAACCUGAUAUCCAGACCCAAAGAAGAUGGUUAUUUUGAGGCACUAGCCUGCCAUCUUAUCUUCUCGGUCUGCCAGCUCCUGGAUUAAAGUCUCUCCUUGCCUCAACACCUCGUCUCUUGGAUUCACUAACCUACUGUGUGUGGCGAGCAGAGUAAGCUUGGACCUGGAAACAGAGGAAAAUGACAGGACAAAGCCCACCUCCGCAUGUGCGUGUCCUCACACACCCACCCCUGUGGAGAAAAAUGAAAACUAAUGGGGCUAGAAGAGAAAAGAGCAAGACAUUAUCUUCAAAUAUCAUUUAGGGAAUUGAAGAAUAAUACAGUUUAAUAAUAAUAUUUUACA